AGUGAACGCUGGCGGUAGGCCUAACACAUGCAAGUCGAACGGCAGCACAGUAAGCGCUUGCUCUUACGGGUGGCGAGUGGCGGACGGGUGAGGCAUACAUCGGAAUCUACUUUUUCGUGGGGGAUAACGUAGGGAAACUUACGCUAAUACCUCAUACGACCUACGGGUUAAAGCAGGGGAUCUUCGGACCUUGCGCGAUUGAUUGAGCCGAUGUCGGAUUAGCUAGUUGGCGGGGUAAAGGCCCACCAAGGCGACGAUCCGUAGCUGGUCUGAGAGGAUGAUCAGCCACACUGGAACUGAGACACGGUCCAGACUCCUACGGGAGGCAGCAGUGGGGAAUAUUGGACAAUGGGCGCAAGCCUGAUCCAGCCAUACCGCGUGGGUGAAGAAGGCCUUCGGGUUGUAAAGCCCUUUUGUUGGGAAAGAAAAGCAGCAGGUUAAUACCCCGCUGUUCUGACGGUACCCAAAGAAUAAGCACCGGCUAACUUCGUG
RNAcentral lists this ribosomal RNA (492 nucleotides) under uncultured bacterium. Its description in RNAcentral is "partial 16S ribosomal RNA". It matches the Rfam family "Bacterial small subunit ribosomal RNA", at positions 29 to 507 of the family's 1533-position model. The record is from RNAcentral.